CNAUGCAGUCGAGGGGUAGAAGAAGCUUGCUUCUUUGAGACCGGCGCACGGGUGCGUAACGCGUAUGCAAUCUACCUUUCACAGAGGGAUAGCCCAGAGAAAUUUGGAUUAAUACCUCAUAGUAAUACGACUUGGCAUCAAGAUGUAUUUAAAGAUUUAUCGGUGAAAGAUGAGCAUGCGUCCCAUUAGCUAGUUGGUAUGGUAACGGCAUACCAAGGCUACGAUGGGUAGGGGUCCUGAGAGGGAGAUCCCCCACACUGGUACUGAGACACGGACCAGACUCCUACGGGAGGCAGCAGUGAGGAAUAUUGGACAAUGGGCGCAAGCCUGAUCCAGCCAUGCCGCGUGCAGGAUGACGGUCCUAUGGAUUGUAAACUGCUUUUAUACAGGAAGAAACACCUCUACGUGUAGAGACUUGACGGUACUGUAAGAAUAAGGAUCGGCUAACUCCGUGCCAGCAGCCGCGGUAAUACGGAGGAUCCAAGCGUUAUCCGGAAUCAUUGGGUUUAAAGGGUCCGUAGGCGGUCAGGUAAGUCAGUGGUGAAAGCCCAUCGCUCAACGGUGGAACGGCCAUUGAUACUGCUUGACUUGAAUUAUUAGGAAGUAACUAGAAUAUGUAGUGUAGCGGUGAAAUGCUUAGAGAUUACAUGGAAUACCAAUUGCGAAGGCAGGUUACUACUAAUAUAUUGACGCUGAUGGACGAAAGCGUGGGUAGCGAACAGGAUUAGAUACCCUGGUAGUCCACGCCGUAAACGAUGGAUACUAGCUGUUGGGAGCAAUCUCAGUGGCUAAGCGAAAGUGAUAAGUAUCCCACCUGGGGAGUACGAACGCAAGUUUGAAACUCAAAGGAAUUGACGGGGGCCCGCACAAGCGGUGGAGCAUGUGGUUUAAUUCGAUGAUACGCGAGGAACCUUACCAAGGCUUAAAUGUAGAUUGACCGGUUUGGAAACAGAUCUUUCGCAAGACAAUUUACAAGGUGCUGCAUGGUUGUCGUCAGCUCGUGCCGUGAGGUGUCAGGUUAAGUCCUAUAACGAGCGCAACCCCUGUUGUUAGUUGCCAGCGAGUCAUGUCGGGAACUCUAACGAGACUGCCAGUGCAAACUGUGAGGAAGGUGGGGAUGACGUCAAAUCAUCACGGCCCUUACGCCUUGGGCUACMNACGUGCUACAAUGGCCGGUACAAAAAG
RNAcentral lists this ribosomal RNA (1185 nucleotides) under Flavobacterium sp. RNAcentral's name for it is "bacterial SSU rRNA". It matches the Rfam family "Bacterial small subunit ribosomal RNA", at positions 54 to 1246 of the family's 1533-position model. The record is from RNAcentral. Lineage: Bacteria; Pseudomonadati; Bacteroidota; Flavobacteriia; Flavobacteriales; Flavobacteriaceae.